This 247-nucleotide unclassified non-coding RNA is filed under the name Mycosphaerellaceae sp. RNAcentral's name for it is "partial contains 5.8S ribosomal RNA, internal transcribed spacer 2, and large subunit ribosomal RNA". Lineage: Eukaryota; Fungi; Ascomycota; Dothideomycetes; Mycosphaerellales; Mycosphaerellaceae. The record is from RNAcentral.
CGCACAUUGCGCCCUUCGGUAUUCCGGAGGGCAUGCCCGUUCGAGCGUCAUUACACCACACAAGCCUGGCUUGGUAUUGGGCCCCGGGGGUGACCCGGGCCUGAAAGUCGUCGGCCGGACAGCCUGAAUCUCAGCGUCGUGGAAUCUUCAUCAAUCGCUGGUCGAGGACGGUAGCCGCGUCGGAAAUUGAUUAAUAUCUUCUUCAAAGGUUGACCUCGGAUCGGGUAGGGAUACCCGCUGAACUUAA